CCUACGGGGGGCUGCAGUGGGGAAUAUUGGACAAUGGGGGGAACCCUGAUACAGCCAUGCCGCGUGUGUGAAGAAGGCCCUCGGGUUGUAAAGCACUUUCAGUGAGGAAGAACGCCUGGUGGUUAAUACCCAUCAGGAAAGACAUCACUCACAGAAGAAGCACCGGCUAACUCCGUGCCAGCAGCCGCGGUAAUACGGAGGGUGCGAGCGUUAAUCGGAAUUACUGGGCGUAAAGCGCGCGUAGGUGGCUUGAUAAGCCGGUUGUGAAAGCCCCGGGCUCAACCUGGGAACGGCAUCCGGAACUGUCAAGCUAGAGUGCAGGAGAGGAAGGUAGAAUUCCCGGUGUAGCGGUGAAAUGCGUAGAGAUCGGGAGGAAUACCAGUGGCGAAGGCGGCCUUCUGGACUGACACUGACACUGAGGUGCGAAAGCGUGGGUAGCAAACAGGAUUAGAUACCCGUGUAGUC
This 465-nucleotide ribosomal RNA is filed under the name Vreelandella stevensii. RNAcentral's name for it is "partial 16S ribosomal RNA". It matches the Rfam family "Bacterial small subunit ribosomal RNA", at positions 338 to 795 of the family's 1533-position model. Lineage: Bacteria; Pseudomonadati; Pseudomonadota; Gammaproteobacteria; Oceanospirillales; Halomonadaceae. The record is from RNAcentral.